UACGUAGGGUGCAAGCGUUAAUCGGAAUUACUGGGCGUAAAGCGUGCGCAGGCGGCUUUGCAAGACAGAUGUGAAAUCCCCGGGCUUAACCUGGGAACUGCAUUUGUGACUGCAUGGCUGGAGUGCGGCAGAGGGGGAUGGAAUUCCGCGUGUAGCAGUGAAAUGCGUAGAUAUCGGGAGGAACACCAGUGGCGAAGGCGGCUUCCUGGACCAGCACUGACGCUGAGGCGCGAAAGCUAGGGGAGCAAACAGG
RNAcentral lists this ribosomal RNA (253 nucleotides) under uncultured bacterium. RNAcentral's name for it is "partial 16S ribosomal RNA". It matches the Rfam family "Bacterial small subunit ribosomal RNA", at positions 524 to 776 of the family's 1533-position model. The record is from RNAcentral.